UACGUAGGGGGCAAGCGUUGUCCGGAUUUAUUGGGCGUAAAGAGCGUGUAGGCGGCCAGGUAGGUCCGUUGUGAAAACUCGAGGCUCAACCUCGAGACGUCGGCGGAAACCCUCUGGCUAGAGUCCGGAAGAGGAGAGUGGAAUUCCCGGUGUAGCGGUGAAAUGCGCAGAUAUCGGGAGGAACACCAGUGGCGAAGGCGGCUCUCUGGGCCCUACCUGACGCUGAGACGCGAAAGCGUGGGGAGCGAACCGG
Molecule: ribosomal RNA, 253 nt
Filed under: uncultured bacterium
Lineage: Bacteria
Description: partial 16S ribosomal RNA
Rfam family: Bacterial small subunit ribosomal RNA
Source: RNAcentral